This 468-nucleotide ribosomal RNA is filed under the name uncultured bacterium. RNAcentral's name for it is "partial 16S ribosomal RNA". It matches the Rfam family "Bacterial small subunit ribosomal RNA", at positions 28 to 507 of the family's 1533-position model. The record is from RNAcentral.
GACGAACGCUGGCGGCGUGCUUAACACAUGCAAGUCGAACGGAAAGGCCCUGCUUUUGUGGGGUGCUCGAGUGGCGAACGGGUGAGUAACACGUGAGUAACCUGCCCUUGACUUUGGGAUAACUUCAGGAAACUGGGGCUAAUACCGGAUAGGAGCUCCUGCUGCAUGUUGGGGGUUGGAAAGUUUCGGCGGUUGGGGAUGGACUCGCGGCUUAUCAGCUUGUUGGUGGGGUAGUGGCUUACCAAGGCUUUGACGGGUAGCCGGCCUGAGAGGGUGACCGGCCACAUUGGGACUGAGAUACGGCCCAGACUCCUACGGGAGGCAGCAGUGGGGAAUAUUGCACAAUGGGCGGAAGCCUGAUGCAGCAACGCCGCGUGCGGGAUAACGGCCUUCGGGUUGUAAACCGCUUUCGCCUGUGACGAAGCGUGAGUGACGGUAAUGGGUAAAGAAGCACCGGCUAACUACGUG